RNAcentral lists this ribosomal RNA (484 nucleotides) under uncultured bacterium. Its description in RNAcentral is "partial 16S ribosomal RNA". It matches the Rfam family "Bacterial small subunit ribosomal RNA", at positions 28 to 507 of the family's 1533-position model. The record is from RNAcentral.
AUUGAACGCUGGCGGCAUGCUUUACACAUGCAAGUCGAACGGCAGCGCGGGCUUCGGCCUGGCGGCGAGUGGCGAACGGGUGAGUAAUGCAUCGGAACGUGCCCAGUAGUGGGGGAUAGCCCGGCGAAAGCCGGAUUAAUACCGCAUACGACCUGAGGGUGAAAGCGGGGGACCGAAUGGCCUCGCGCUAUUGGAGCGGCCGAUGUCGGAUUAGCUAGUUGGUGGGGUAAAGGCUUACCAAGGCGACGAUCCGUAGCUGGUCUGAGAGGACGACCAGCCACACUGGGACUGAGACACGGCCCAGACUCCUACGGGAGGCAGCAGUGGGGAAUUUUGGACAAUGGGGGCAACCCUGAUCCAGCCAUGCCGCGUGCGGGAAGAAGGCCUUCGGGUUGUAAACCGCUUUUGUUCGGGAAGAAAUCCUCUGGGCUAAUACCCCGGGGGGAUGACGGUACCGGAAGAAUAAGCACCGGCUAACUACGUG